This 169-nucleotide long non-coding RNA is filed under the name Penaeus japonicus. RNAcentral describes it as "uncharacterized LOC122254572". Lineage: Eukaryota; Metazoa; Arthropoda; Malacostraca; Decapoda; Penaeidae. The record is from RNAcentral.
CAGUGGUCGAGAGAAACUCAAAGCGGGAGGUUGUGUCUCUCGUCGUCGGCUGACACACACAAGCCUCUCCCUCACCCCCCACAUAGGCGACACUUCAUUACCUUCUUACGUGAAUGAAGGAAUUAAUGAAAAUCUGAUAAAGAGAGAGACAAAGAGAGAGAGAGAAAAA